CUAGCAACCUCUGAAUCCUCUGCAUUUUGGAGCUCAGUCUUGCUGUGAUGAGUUCCUUUUUCGCAGAGAAGAUGACUGAAAACUUAGAAGAAAAUGCAUCCCAUGGUCCACAGCGUGCUUGCAGGGGCAGGUGAUGGAAUCGGGGAAGACUCAUGAAGCUCCAAACAGAUACCAAGGCCAC
Mastomys coucha (southern multimammate mouse) is the source of this 181-nucleotide long non-coding RNA. RefSeq lists it as uncharacterized. The transcript has 3 exons. The record is from RefSeq and is a predicted model, not a curated record. NCBI's taxonomy places the organism in Eukaryota, Metazoa, Chordata, Mammalia, Rodentia, Muridae.